Long non-coding RNA from Alexandromys fortis (reed vole), 382 nucleotides. RefSeq lists it as uncharacterized. The transcript has 3 exons. NCBI's taxonomy places the organism in Eukaryota, Metazoa, Chordata, Mammalia, Rodentia, Cricetidae. The record is from RefSeq and is a predicted model, not a curated record.
CAUGAUUCUCCCACUCCAGACAGACGCAGGUUAAGAUCUUUCCUGGUCCCUGCCUGACUUCCCUUCAUGGUGGACAGCGAGUUAUUACCUGAAAUGAAUCCUUUCCUCCUCACUUUGCUUUAUUGUCACAGCAACAAGUGAACAAUCUGGAAUACUCAGCAACUGUUGACUUUGAAAAUCAAGGAUGGAAGGGCAGUGCCUAAAGAACACAGUGCCAAGAUGCCAUCACGUGACAAAGAAUGCCUGGGAACCGAAGAGACACAGCUAGAGCACAUGCCUGGAUGGGAGUCUCUGCCCAGGAACAGAAGGAGGCUGGCCCAUGGUGAGCUUUUUUUAGCCAGGGCCACUUUGUCUGUUCUAACAUGAAGCUGAGUGGAAAACC